RNAcentral lists this ribosomal RNA (791 nucleotides) under uncultured Bacillota bacterium. RNAcentral describes it as "bacterial SSU rRNA". It matches the Rfam family "Bacterial small subunit ribosomal RNA", at positions 70 to 877 of the family's 1533-position model. Lineage: Bacteria; Bacillati; Bacillota. The record is from RNAcentral.
AAAGCGGGGGCAACCCCGUGAGUACAGUGGCGAACGGGUGAGUAACACGUGACUAACCUGCCUUCGAGCGGGGGAUAACCCCGGGAAACCGGGGCUAACACCGCAUAACAUCGCGAGGUGAAAUUCCUUGUGAUCAAAUGCGCAAGCAGCUUGAAGAGGGGGUCGCGGCUGAUUAGCUAGUUGGUGAGGUAACGGCUCACCAAGGCGAUGAUCAGUAGCCGGCCUGAGAGGGCGCACGGCCACACUGGAACUGAAACACGGUCCAGACUCCUACGGGAGGCAGCAGUGGGGAAUUUUGCGCAAUGGGGGAAACCCUGACGCAGCAACGCCGCGUGGAGGAUGAAGUCCUUUGGGACGUAAACUCCUUUCGACCGGGACGAUUAUGACGGUACCGGAUGAAGAAGCCCCGGCUAACUUCGUGCCAGCAGCCGCGGUAAUACGAGGGGGGCGAGCGUUGUUCGGAAUUAUUGGGCGUAAAGGGCGCGUAGGCGGUGCGGUAAGUCACCUGUGAAACCUCUGGGCUUAACUCAGAGCCUGCAGGCGAAACUGCCGUGCUUGAGUGUGGGAGAGGUGCGUGGAAUUCCCGGUGUAGCGGUGAAAUGCGUAGAUAUCGGGAGGAACACCUGUGGCGAAAGCGGCGCACUGGACCACAACUGACGCUGAGGCGCGAAGCUAGGGGAGCAAACAGGAUUAGAUACCCUGGUAGUCCUAGCCCUAAACGAUGGAUGCUUGGUGUGAUGGGUACCCAAUCCCAUCGUGCCGCAGCUAACACGUUAAGCAUCCCGCCUGGG